This 448-nucleotide long non-coding RNA is filed under the name Homo sapiens (human). RNAcentral describes it as "HSALNT0343070". Lineage: Eukaryota; Metazoa; Chordata; Mammalia; Primates; Hominidae. The record is from RNAcentral.
CUUGCCCAUGACAGGCUUGUGCAGAAUGAACAGAGAACAUUCAUUACGUUUAGAACAGAAGAUAUCCUCAUACUUAAUACAAAAAUAAUGCAGAAGAUAUUAUAAAAGGUAAAGAUAAAUUACCAUGGUAGUUCCUACAAGACAGACUUUCAGACAGAUGAACACAGCAUAAAGACUUUCAGAAGUUCUACACUGCUUUAACUGCAGAGAGCGUCAAAGAAAAGAGUGUCCACAAUGGAAGAGAAAGAAGAAGAGGUGAAGUUAGGGGUGACCAAUGAAAAUUCCAUCUAAGUGACUUGGGGCAACACUAUCAUGUAUAGUGUUAAUAUACAUUAACACUCAAGGAAGAAUAAAUCUGAUUAUAAUAAUGCUUGCCAUUUAUGGAGAAUCUAUCAACUGAGUGUCUUGGAAUGCUUUGUGAAAUUUAAAUCAAUUCCCACAUCACCCC